AUACGUAGGGUGCUAGCGUUAUCCGGAUUUACUGGGCGUAAAGGGUGCGUAGGUGGUCUUUCAAGUCAGAAGUGAAAGGCUACGGCUCAACCGUAGUAAGCUUUUGAAACUAAGAGACUUGAGUGCAGGAGAGGAGAGUAGAAUUCCUAGUGUAGCGGUGAAAUGCGUAGAUAUUAGGAGGAAUACCAGUUGCGAAGGCGGCUCUCUGGACUGUAACUGACACUGAGGCACGAAAGCGUGGGGAGCAAACAGGAUUAGAUACCCUGGUAGUCCACGCCGUAAACGAUGAGUACUAGCUGUCGGGGGUUACCCCCCUCGGUGGCGCAGCUAACGCAUUAAGUACUCCGCCUGGGAAGUACGCUCGCAAGAGUGAAACUCAAAUGAAUUGGCGGGG
This 394-nucleotide ribosomal RNA is filed under the name uncultured bacterium. RNAcentral describes it as "partial 16S ribosomal RNA". It matches the Rfam family "Bacterial small subunit ribosomal RNA", at positions 523 to 918 of the family's 1533-position model. The record is from RNAcentral.